UGGCGGCGUGCUAAUACAUGCAGUCGAGCGGAUGUGAUGGGUAAGCCUUUGCUUCCCUUGAAAUUCAGCGGCGGAACGGGUGAAGUAACACGUGGGUAACCUUGCCUGUAAGAACUUGGGAUAACUUCCGGGAAACCGGGGCUAAUACCGGAUAGUUCUUUUCCUCGCAUGAGGAAAAGUGGAAAGGCGGCUUCGGCUGCCACUUACAGAUGGACCCGCGGCGCAUUAGCUAGUUGGUGAGGUAACGGCUCACCAAGGCAACGAUGCGUAGCCGACCUGAGAGGGUGAUCGGCCACACUGGGACUGAGACACGGCCCAGACUCCUACGGGAGGCAGCAGUAGGGAAUCUUCCGCAAUGGACGAAAGUCUGACGGAGCAACGCCGCGUGAGUGAUGAAGGUUUUCGGAUCGUAAAGCUCUGUUGUUAGGGAAGAACAAGUGCCGUUCGAAUAGGGCGGCACCUUGACGGUACCUAACCAGAAAGCCACGGCUAACUACGUGCCAGCAGCCGCGGUAAUACGUAGGUGGCAAGCGUUGUCCGGAAUUAUUGGGCGUAAAGCGCGCGCAGGCGGUCUCUUAAGUCUGAUGUGAAAGCCCACGGCUCAACCGUGGAGGGUCAUUGGAAACUGGGGGACUUGAGUACAGAAGAGGAAAGU
This 655-nucleotide ribosomal RNA is filed under the name Bacillus sp. (in: firmicutes). RNAcentral's name for it is "bacterial SSU rRNA". It matches the Rfam family "Bacterial small subunit ribosomal RNA", at positions 37 to 662 of the family's 1533-position model. Lineage: Bacteria; Bacillati; Bacillota; Bacilli; Caryophanales; Bacillaceae. The record is from RNAcentral.